Molecule: ribosomal RNA, 244 nt
Filed under: uncultured bacterium
Lineage: Bacteria
Description: partial 16S ribosomal RNA
Rfam family: Bacterial small subunit ribosomal RNA
Source: RNAcentral
UACGUAGGGGGCAAGCGUUGUCCGGAAUCAUUGGGCGUAAAGCGCGUGUAGGCGGCUUGAUAAGUCUGCUCUGAAAGCCCGGGGCUCAACCCUGGGAGGCGGGUGGAUACUGUCGAGCUCGAGUCCGGAAGAGGCGAGUGGAAUUCCUGGUGUAGCGGUGAAAUGCGCAGAUAUCAGGAGGAACACCAAUGGCGAAGGCAGCUCGCUGGGACGGUACUGACGCUGAGACGCGAAAGCGUGGGGA